AAGUCGUAACAAGGUUUCCGUAGGUGAACCUGCGGAAGGAUCAUUAACACGUAUCCACGUAUCCACCCAUGUGAAUUGUUUUCAAUUUCUCCCUCAACGCAGAGAAUGAGUUGGAGUCGACAGCGGAGUAUGAGUGGGGCCGAUAAUGGCCUAUCUGCUGUUCACUACUUAGGUUUCGGCCUAGACGACUGUAUUUCUGUAGAGGCUAUUUUCUUACUACUUGGGCUUCCACCUCUGUCGUGGUAGUAAGAUAUCCUAUUUAACUUAUUUCACCCCCUUUUUGCUAGUUGACUUUUAUAUGUUGUUCUUUGCGCUUGCGCAUGGAUCACACGUUUAAUUAUUUGAACGUUAAAAAUACAACUCUUAGCAAUGGAUAUCUAGGUUCUC
Molecule: unclassified non-coding RNA, 387 nt
Filed under: fungal sp.
Lineage: Eukaryota; Fungi
Description: partial internal transcribed spacer region
Rfam family: Eukaryotic small subunit ribosomal RNA (bases 1-46)
Source: RNAcentral